UCCCCUCGUCUCAUGUAACGAGAGAGAGAGAGAGAGAGAGAUGGCCCUUCAAGCAGUGGCAGGGCUGAGAUCCACCAUCGCGGCUUCGCGGGGGACCAAUCCACCCAGCCAUCCAGGCCUGCGCGGCCCCGCCGACCGCUACGCCCUCCGGUCAGCCGCCUUCUCUCCCUCCCUGCACCUCCUGCUGCCGCCACCGAGCCGAUGCCCCGCCACGGCGCCGAGGUUCUCCAUGCGCAUGGUGUCCAAGCAGGCCUACAUCUGCCGCGACUGCGGGUUUCCCUUCCUUCCUUCUGUUGCGUCUGUUCUCUCUAUAACGUUGAUGGCUAACAUACUCGUCUGCUUCGGUGCUUUCCAUGACAAUGUACUUGCAGCUAUAACUACAAUGACAGGACGCCAUUUGAGAAGCUGCCUGAUAAGUACUUCUGUCCCGGCGAGUUCAACCUUUUCAUCAGCACAUUCAAUUAGCGCCUGCAAACGGAGUUCAAUCAUUAAACCGAGUUCAGUAAUCAUCAAAAUGCUUGCUCAAGGAAUUUUCUACCACCUGCAGUUUGUGGUGCCCCUAAAAGAAGAUUCGGGCCUUACGAACCAGCCGUAGCCAAGAACUCUAAUGACACCGACGUCCGUCAAGCAAGGAAGGCACAGAUCAAGAGAGAUGAAGCUAUCGGGCGAGCAUUACCUGUUGCUGUUGUGCUUGGAGUUGCAGGAUUGGCUGGUCUUUACUUCUAUCUCAACAAUGUCUACUAGUCUGUCUAUGCAGGAGCAGCUCCUAGUUUGAGCCAGAAGCAAUUCACUGGAGAACUCCCGAACCUCUUUUUCCUGGUCCAAUUAGAGGUCCUGUGUUAUCGAAUCUCUUUACCUGCACAAAUGGUCAAAAGCAUUGUGCUUCUACAUUUAAGAUUUUGUUUGUCAAAACAGUGAGAUAAGGAAGUGAUGGUAAUAGUUGUUUUGUAAAGGCAAAACUGUUCAGAUGCAGCCAUGAAUCAGUAUAUAUUGUGAUACAGUGAAAGUAUACCUUCCCAGGAAUUAUAGAUGCACACUAUGUUCAUUGGCUUUUAUUGGCUUCAACAAACACUAUGUUCAGACAUGGUAGAUGCAUGCAGUGGAAACUGUAGCUGAAGAAAGCAUGAUACUAGCUGUAGCAUCAAGAUUCAACAGCAGCAUGAUACAGAAAGCAACAAUGCAGGACCAGAAGAGAGAAAGCUAUGAGAAAAAUAGGAGUAAUUUGUCUUCACCAAAUGACAUACAAGUUGCUUUGAUAAUUCAACUACACAUGUAUAUGAUGGAUAAGCAAAGAACUCUGAUUGGAACUCAUGCAGUAACAAAAUUUUGUUUUGAUUGAUACAAUACCUAGCUAUAAGUUGCUUUAAGUGAUACAACAAGUAUUUUUCUGAAAUCAAAAUAAAUAUAAGACAAGUGGCAUAGCAUCACUUGGCUAUUUUAUGCA
Musa acuminata AAA Group (dessert banana) is the source of this 1444-nucleotide RNA transcript. RefSeq lists it as uncharacterized. The record is from RefSeq and is a predicted model, not a curated record. Lineage: Eukaryota; Viridiplantae; Streptophyta; Magnoliopsida; Zingiberales; Musaceae. The transcript has 3 exons.